ACAAAUCUGCACUUUGAUCACACACCCACAGCGACCCAGAUCUUUAAAUUCAGCAAUUCUUUCUCAGGUUUCAGCAAGGCAUUGGCAGCCUGAGCUAUUUUGGGACACUUUCUCUGCUGUGGAUGCCACUUUCGGAAUACGCCAGGAACAUGCUAAGGACCUGGAGCUCUCUACCCUGGACCCGUUUUCGGGUUUGCUUGCUCUCUCUCUCUCUUUCUCUGGGCUAAUCGUUUAGAGGACAGUCGCUCCUGCCAACCUAAUCCCAUGAGCCUGACUACCUUGCCGGGCCACAGGCUCAAAGAGGCAGUGUGGCUGCCAGCACCCUCACGGGAAGGGGCACGGAGGCACCAGGCAGUCUGGCAGGAUGAGAGACAUCCUGGGGGUGGUCUGAGUUUGGAUGUGGGCUGAGAAGACAAAGCAGGGGGCUUUCGGGGGACAAGAUUUUCCAAACAUCUUAUUCUUAGGAUCAUCACUUCCUAAUCUGAUGCAACUGACUCGGCAGGCAUUCGGGAGCCUGUAAGCUCCAUUUUCCUGUUCCAAAUUCUUCUGCACCUCACCAGGAGUCCUCGCCUUGACCGUAAUCAACUUGGGAUUCUCCUCAAAGUACUUAGAAAGGAAGAGGAAGACGGUGACUACACUGACAUGAUGGGCACUCACCCAAGCUCCAGGUAUGAAGCCUGCUCCUCUGGAAUUACUCUAGCUCAACCCCUCCUGAAACUAAACAUGAUCUAAGAACUCAGCAGAGCCAUCUCUAUUUUGCUGGACGACAGCAUGUGAGAUUUCUAUUUAGCCCUCUGCUUUUUGGAUCUACAGCAGUGGAGAGUCCCCUGAGAUCCUCUGUGGGCAUAUUCAGUUCACCUACGUACAUGAGAUCUGAUUUCAAGAUAAAAUAUUUUAAAAAACACUUCUGAGCUGCUACUUCUCAAAUAUUGUGGUUAAAAGCAGUGUUGAUGUUCUCGUCAUUCUUUUAUGCAAUCAAAUAGGUAAUCAGAGUUAUUAAAAUAUAUGUAUAUAUUUCAAUGCAAUUAAAUAUUAUUUUUACUUUGAAAUUUUAAAAA
Cercocebus atys (sooty mangabey) is the source of this 1058-nucleotide long non-coding RNA. RefSeq lists it as uncharacterized. Lineage: Eukaryota; Metazoa; Chordata; Mammalia; Primates; Cercopithecidae. The transcript has 3 exons. The record is from RefSeq and is a predicted model, not a curated record.